AUUGAACGCUGGCGGCAGGCCUAACACAUGCAAGUCGAGCGGUAGCACAGAGAGCUUGCUCUCGGGUGACGAGCGGCGGACGGGUGAGUAAUGUCUGGGAAACUGCCUGAUGGAGGGGGAUAACUACUGGAAACGGUAGCUAAUACCGCAUAACGUCGCAAGACCAAAGUGGGGGACCUUCGGGCCUCAUGCCAUCAGAUGUGCCCAGAUGGGAUUAGCUAGUAGGUGGGGUAACGGCUCACCUAGGCGACGAUCCCUAGCUGGUCUGAGAGGAUGACCAGCCACACUGGAACUGAGACACGGUCCAGACUCCUACGGGAGGCAGCAGUGGGGAAUAUUGCACAAUGGGCGCAAGCCUGAUGCAGCCAUGCCGCGUGUGUGAAGAAGGCCUUCGGGUUGUAAAGCACUUUCAGCGGGGAAGAAGGCGGUGAGGUUAAUAACCUUGUCGAUUGACGUUACCCGCAGAAGAAGCACCGGCUAACUCCGUGCCAGCAGCCGCGGUAAUACGGAGGGUGCAAGCGUUAAUCGGAAUUACUGGGCGUAAAGCGCACGCAGGCGGUCUGUCAAGUCGGAUGUGAAAUCCCCGGGCUCAACCUGUGGAACUGCAUUCGAAACUGGCAGGCUAGAGUCUUGUAGAGGGGGGUAGAAUUCCAGGUGUAGCGGUGAAAUGCGUAGAGAUCUGGAGGAAUACCGGUGGCGAAGGCGGCCCCCUGGACAAAGACUGACGCUCAGGUGCGAAAGCGUGGGGAGCAAACAGGAUUAGAUACCCUGGUAGUCCACGCCGUAAACGAUGUCGAUUUGGAGGUUGUGCCCUUGAGGCGUGGCUUCCGGAGCUAACGCGUUAAAUCGACCGCCUGGGGAGUACGGCCGCAAGGUUAAAACUCAAAUGAAUUGACGGGGGCCCGCACAAGCGGUGGAGCAUGUGGUUUAAUUCGAUGCAACGCGAAGAACCUUACCUGGUCUUGACAUCCACAGAACUUUCCAGAGAUGGAUUGGUGCCUUCGGGAACUGUGAGACAGGUGCUGCAUGGCUGUCGUCAGCUCGUGUUGUGAAAUGUUGGGUUAAGUCCCGCAACGAGCGCAACCCUUAUCCUUUGUUGCCAGCGGUUAGGCCGGGAACUCAAAGGAGACUGCCAGUGAUAAACUGGAGGAAGGUGGGGAUGACGUCAAGUCAUCAUGGCCCUUACGACCAGGGCUACACACGUGCUACAAUGGCAUAUACAAAGAGAAGCGACCUCGCGAGAGCAAGCGGACCUCAUAAAGUAUGUCGUAGUCCGGAUUGGAGUCUGCAACUCGACUCCAUGAAGUCGGAAUCGCUAGUAAUCGUAGAUCAGAAUGCUACGGUGAAUACCUUCCCGGGCCU
RNAcentral lists this ribosomal RNA (1362 nucleotides) under uncultured bacterium. Its description in RNAcentral is "bacterial SSU rRNA". It matches the Rfam family "Bacterial small subunit ribosomal RNA", at positions 28 to 1381 of the family's 1533-position model. The record is from RNAcentral.